Small nuclear RNA from Echinops telfairi (small Madagascar hedgehog), 194 nucleotides. Its record names the gene U2. It matches the Rfam family "U2 spliceosomal RNA". From Rfam's summary of the family: U2 is a small nuclear RNA (snRNA) component of the spliceosome (involved in pre-mRNA splicing). Complementary binding between U2 snRNA (in an area lying towards the 5' end but 3' to hairpin I) and the branchpoint sequence (BPS) of the intron results the bulging out of an unpaired adenosine, on the BPS, which initiates a nucleophilic attack at the intronic 5' splice site, thus starting the first of two transesterification reactions that mediate splicing. NCBI's taxonomy places the organism in Eukaryota, Metazoa, Chordata, Mammalia, Afrosoricida, Tenrecidae. The record is from Ensembl.
AUCGCUUCUCGGCCUUUUGGCUACGAUCAAGUGUAGUAUCUGCUCUUAUCAGUUUAAUAUCUGAUACGUCCUCUAUCCGAGGACAAUAUAUUAAACGGAUUUUUGGAGCAGAGAGAUGGAAUAGGAGCUUACUGCGUCCAAUCCACGCAUCGACCUGGUGGUAUUGCAGUACUUUCAGGAACGGUGCAUUCCCU